Fukomys damarensis (Damara mole-rat) is the source of this 874-nucleotide long non-coding RNA. The record is from Ensembl. NCBI's taxonomy places the organism in Eukaryota, Metazoa, Chordata, Mammalia, Rodentia, Bathyergidae.
ACUACUCCUGUAUUACCAUGGCUGCUGACAAUGGUUCCCUGUAUGUUCCCCUCGACAGAUACAACGACAUAUUCCACCCAGCGAUCUGAGCACUUCAAGCCCUGCCGAGACAAGGACCUUGCCUACUGUCUCAACGAUGGCGAGUGCUUUGUGAUAGAAACCUUGACAGGAUCCCAUAAGCACUGCCGAGUAAAAGACAAAUAGCAGCUGCUCCUGAAAGAGGAGCAGGAAAGGCUGAGGAAGACCUCCUGCUGCCAGCUCUCAAGGAAGCUACUGCUAUCCUCACCCCGAAGAAGCAAAAGUGUCUUGGAGCACUAGUGGAUAUAGAAAGACAAGCCCAGUUCUGACUGUCAGUCAGCACUUCAGUCUGUCUGCAGCAUCCUUCUGGGUAAUGGCCAUGGUCUACGCCACAGGCAGUCUGCCCCGGGGGAGCUGACACCAGAGACCUAAGCUGGUCUUGCUCGGUGACUUGGGCGGCUCUUAGACACCAGCACCCAGAGAACCAACAGAGAUGGAAAAGCCAAGGCCAGACCCUACAGCAGCCAGCCACCCUGUGAAGAUCUGAACAAAGAGACAAACAGAAUGUGAGGCCUAUCAGAGGCAGUAAAGGGAAAAUGGUUUUAGGAAGAGGGGAGAUAACUAAACAAGCCAGGACUUGAUUCCGUACCUUUUAUAAGAUUGACAUGGCCUUGCCACAUGUAUUUGCCACUUUCCUAUCACUGGGACAAAAUACCUGCAUCAUGCAACUCAAAGGAAAGGUUUCUCUUUGUUCAUGUUUUCAGAGGCUUUGGUCCAUAUUCUACGGUUCCAAGGCAGGAAUAACAUGAUACAAGGUAUCCUGGUGGAGGAAAGAUCCUCUCCCCAUGGCAGCCGG